GAUGAACGCUAGCGGCAGGCUUAAUACAUGCAAGUCGUGGGGCAGCAGGUCCCGUAGCAAUACGGGAUGCUGGCGACCGGCAAACGGGUGCGGAACACGUACACAACCUUCCUUUAAGUGGGGGAAUAGCCCGGGGAAACCCGGAUUAAUACCCCGUAACAUUAUGAUGUGGCAUCACAUUAUAAUUAUAGCUCCGGCGCUUAAUGAUGGGUGUGCGGCUGAUUAGGUAGUUGGCGGGGUAACGGCCCACCAAGCCUACGAUCAGUAACUGGUGUGAGAGCACGACCAGUCACACGGGCACUGAGACACGGGCCCGGACUCCUACGGGAGGCAGCAGUAAGGAAUAUUGGGCAAUGGACGCAAGUCUGACCCAGCCAUGCCGCGUGGAGGAUG
This 393-nucleotide ribosomal RNA is filed under the name uncultured bacterium. RNAcentral describes it as "bacterial SSU rRNA". It matches the Rfam family "Bacterial small subunit ribosomal RNA", at positions 28 to 410 of the family's 1533-position model. The record is from RNAcentral.